Molecule: long non-coding RNA, 1381 nt
Filed under: Triticum aestivum (bread wheat)
Lineage: Eukaryota; Viridiplantae; Streptophyta; Magnoliopsida; Poales; Poaceae
Description: long non-coding RNA (TAES_LNC005911)
Source: RNAcentral
AAUAGCAAUGGUAUGCACAUGGAUAGCACACCUCCAUUAUACACAAGUAAUAACAGCGUGAUUUAAAAAAAAUACACAAUACAUGCACGCAGUCAAAUAUUUAUGCAUUCAUUCAUAUAUUCAAAUACAUACAUUUAGUAUGUAUACAUUGCCAAGAUCCACGAGUCUACAACACCGUCGUGUCACCGUUGCCAUCGUCACUGUCAUCGCAUGUAGAGGUUGUCCUUGUUGUAGCCUCGUGUGGAUGUCGUCGUCGUCGUUACCACUACAGCCCCGUGUCAAUUGUCGCCGCAAGUCGUCAUCGCAGCCACAGCCCCGUGUUGAUGUCGCCGUCGUUUGUCACCGCCACAUCCCCGUGCGAUGUUGGUGUCGUCGUCGCCACCGCCGCCACCGUCGCCGCCACCGCAACAACUUACUUCCAAUGUAAAUGAUGAAUUAGCUAUUAGCUAAAAUAUAGAUUGAGACUAUGAGGCAUUUCAUCGAAUUAUAAGGAAAAGUCAAAACAUUUCAACAGAGAUGCUUAGUUAACAUUUCAACAGAGAACAAAGAUAGAUUCAUAUCAACACCAUUACCGAGAACACUCCUACUGUUGACAAGAAUUUUCAUAAGCAUUGCCACACUUACCAUUUGCAGUACCUAACUGAGGGAAAAAUAAAGUAGACUAAGGUCAGCAAUGGCAUCCACUACAAUGAAGCUCCUGGUUCAUCUAUUUUUUUUACCAGGGGUGCUUAAUGCAAGGAGACUGAUACUUAGUACUCAGUCUAGCACUUGUAGCUAACCUGCAGCAGCUUUAGAAUUUCUGCCGUGACGAUUGUGCUGAAUGAACCUUACUCCGGCCAAGCCCAUGCUGUCGACGGCGAUGGCGGAGCAGCAGCUGGGCGGCACUCCGUCGCAAUCUGCAGUCAGCCCUGAUGGCGAGGGCACCGUGGAACAUGUUGAUGGCGAUGCCAAACAUGUCUUCUUACAAAUUUCAAAGAUACAAGCAAAUCAGUAGAUAGAAGUUCAGACUGCACAAAGCAUGCAUUGUCCAUGUGUAUUAAAAUGACAACAUGUAGUAUAGCAGCAGAAAUUUACUAUGAUGCUAACUCUAUAUUUAACAUGCAUCUGUCAGUAGUGAAAACCCAGCUUAAAUUAUAUUUCUGGCUCAGCGUAAUUUUGUACAGAUGUACAAUAUUUUGAUUCGGUGAUUCCUAAACAAAAUAUUGUACUGCUGCUACUUCUACUUCAGUACAUGCAGCCGUGCAGGAUGAGCAAGACAUGCACGAUAUUACCUUCUUUUCUUUCCUUCAUUUUCCCUUUUAUCCAUGGCAGGCUCGGCGAGUCCAGUAAUUCUGAAGGCACAUUAUUCAGAGAUCGCAGGUAGUCAUAUUUGUUAACUAAG